Anthonomus grandis grandis is the source of this 2902-nucleotide long non-coding RNA. RefSeq lists it as uncharacterized. The transcript has 4 exons. Lineage: Eukaryota; Metazoa; Arthropoda; Insecta; Coleoptera; Curculionidae. The record is from RefSeq and is a predicted model, not a curated record.
UUCAAAGUGGUUGUUCCCAAUAAUGUGCUAUUUAAAAAAAUAAAGUAAAUGCCAAAAUUAAUUAUUUGGACAUUUUAAAUAGGCAUAUAAAAGAUUUAAGUCAUAAAAUGCAAUGAAAACUAUUUCCAUGAUUACUUGAUUAAAAACUAAAACUUUCAACACAUUCAUGGCACCCUAUUUUAAAAAAAAUAAUUUUUGCUAUGAGAAUAAAACAAAAAGUAGCAAAUAGAGUAGGGUCAAGGGGGUAAAAAUGAGACACCAAAAUCUUUCAGGUAAAAAUAAGACAGCUCGUCCUGAUAUCUAUUAAACAAUUAUUAAAGCAGCACCAUAUUUCUAGCAAAGAUACAAACCUUAACUUUAAAAUAAUCUCUAAUUUGUAAGAAAGAAAUCUUCUCUAGGGGUUUUUACCAUCAGCUGAAAAAUGUGUCAAAAUUAGGCGCGAAAAACACAUGUUUCAUAUUGAAGUAAACAAAUAGCAAUCCUGAAGUGUAUGAACUGUUUAUGUUUUCUGUGCUUUGUUUAGUAACUGUACAGUGAUUUCCUGUGCAUUAAGUGCUGGGUAACAUUAAAUUAAUCGGAUAAACAGAAACUAGAGAUAAAAUGAAAAAAAUCUAUAAGCCAAAGCCAAAACAAUUUACAGAGGAAGACUUGCAGGCUGCCUUGCAAGAUAUUAGAGAGAACAAAAUUUCAUUACGCACUGCACAAAAAAAAUAUCACAUAGACAAAAGCUUAUUAAGUCGAAGGCUAAGGGGAAUUGAAAAGAAGAGCGCGCAGAAAAACAGCACUAUCGAAAGAAAUAGAGGAUGACUUAACUAACCUGGAAAAGAUUGGUUUGUAUUUUUCUGCCAGCAAAAUCGGUUCAGUUUGAAAAAACUAGAGCAGCUGGAGGCUUGUCGGUAUAAAGCAACAUCUGAUCCCUUUAUUAUAUAUCAUUUUUACGACAUCUUGGAAGAAACAAUAAAAAAAUACCAUCUUGAAAAUAAACCUGACUCAAUUUGGAAUUUAGACGAGAUGUAUUUUUCAAGUGACCCUUCAAGAAUUAAAGGAGUUGCCGGAAGAGGACAGAAAGAUAAGGAUUUAAAAGACACAAUAUAUGCAUGUUCCAAAAAAGGAUGGAUGACUACCGAAAUAUUUAAUGAAUGGUUCAUUAAAUUCUGCGAAAUAGUUACGCAAAGACCGUUACUUAUAGUGCUGGAUGGACAUAUAAGUUAUUUGGAUCCUCCAACAAUUCAGUGUGCUAUUAGGGAGAAUAUAGUUUUGUUAAAACUACCUCCUCAUACGACAGAUGUCUUACAACCAUUGGACAGAAACUGUUUUGGACCCUUAAAGCUUAAAUGGAAUGAAGCUCUAAUUGUUUGGCAAAGAACUAAUAGAAAUAAAUUAAGUAAGUCUGAAUUCUGUAACUUCCUUUGUUCAGUAUGGGAAGAGGGUAUAACAAAAAACAAUGUUAUAUCGGGUUUUAAUUCAAGUGGAAUUUUUCCUUUCACCAGAGCCAAAUAUCACGUGGCACGGCUAGAUAAAGAUAAACUAGAUAGAUAUCAGGACCUAAAUCCAAGAGAGAACCCCUAUAGUAUUGUAGAACAUUUACCAACUGAACAAAACGUAUUAGAGGAAGCAAGAGAAAAGCAACCUGGUAAUCAAGAAUACAUUGUAGUUGAGAAAGAUAUUUUAGAAAGAGAAGGUAGUAGUGAUGAACAAGCUGACGAAACAAAUAAAGAAAUCCAAAUGAAAAACAGAGAAAGUGCAAUUUAAGAACCUCAAGCAGGUUGCAGUUCAAUGAAUGUUGAAUUAAAAGUUUCAAAUGAAAAGACAACAGAUUCUAAAAGAGAAGUUUCUUUUCAAGAAAUAUUGCUUGGUCGCUUUUCAGUUACAAAAGGAUUGGAAACAAAGAAACAUAGAAAAAUGGAUAUGAGUGGCUGUGUCAUAACAGAGGGAGAAUUCAGUAGAAAAAUUAUAGAAAAAAAUGAAGUAAAAUAUAAGAAUAAAAACGUAGUUAGAAAAAGUAGUGGAAGCAAAGGUAAAAAUGUGGCAAAAUCAAAGAUUAAUAAUAGAAAAAAAUAUGAGUCCAGUUCAAGUGAAUCAGCAGUAACUGAAUGUACUGCCAGUUUAAGGGAUAGUAAUGAUGAUUAUGACCCUUUUAGUGUUGACGAAUUAGAAGUUAAUAGUGACACACGAGAAAAAAAAGAGAACCUCUAUUCAGCUGGAGAAUUUGUUCUUGUCAAAUAUUUGGGUGGAAAAACUAAACAACAUAUUUAUAAAUAUGUUUCAAUCAUACAAAAGAUUUAAGACAGUUGAAAAUUACGUUAAUGCGAUAAAUGAAGAAGAUAUUGUUAUGAAACUGCCUCUUCCACAGCUAGUUCUUACAGGAACUAGGGUGCAUUAUAUUUUUCCCAACCAAGUUGAUGUGUAUGAAAAUUAAGAAAGCCAAUUAAGUGCUUAAAAAAACUAGUUAAUUUAUUUUUACUUACCAAGGAACUUUGUUUUUGAGUUAGGUACCUAAUGUGUUAUUUCAUGUAAAAAUUACACAUUAUUCAUUUGUUUUUCAUAUUUAUUAGAAUGUUUCGUUAUUUUGCUUUAAAUUAUAAAAAAAUGAAAGGUUGAUUCUUCAUUAAAAAAAAAUAUACCUAUUGUCUUUUUUUUACCCCAUACUGUCUCAAAAUUAUCACUACACGGAACGUUCGUAGUUAAUAACGCGAAAUAAACCGUGUCUUAUAUUUAACCUGAGGUGUCUCGUAUUUAUCCGAAUUCAAAGGUAAAAAUGAGACACUUAUUUUAAUAAAAAUAAAAUAGAUAUAUGCAUAUUAACAUAAAAAUUAUUGUGAAAGUGAUACCUAGAUGAUUUAUUUUACGAAAUAUAUAUGUUGAAAAGAAGAAAAAUAGCUUCAGAAAUUCAAAAGUUGUA